This 409-nucleotide ribosomal RNA is filed under the name bacterium. RNAcentral describes it as "partial 16S ribosomal RNA". It matches the Rfam family "Bacterial small subunit ribosomal RNA", at positions 355 to 776 of the family's 1533-position model. The record is from RNAcentral.
UGGGGAAUAUUGCACAAUGGGCGAAAGCCUGAUGCAGCGACGCCGCGUGAGGGAUGACGGCCUUCGGGUUGUAAACCUCUUUCAGCAGGGACGAAGCGCAAGUGACGGUACCUGCAGAAGAAGCACCGGCUAACUACGUGCCAGCAGCCGCGGUAAUACGUAGGGUGCAAGCGUUGUCCGGAAUUACUGGGCGUAAAGAGUUCGUAGGCGGUUUGUCGCGUCGUUUGUGAAAACCAGCAGCUCAACUGCUGGCUUGCAGGCGAUACGGGCAGACUUGACUACUGCAGGGGAGACUGGAAUUCCUGGUGUAGCGGUGAAAUGCGCAGAUAUCAGGUGGAACACCGGUGGCGAAGGCGGGUCUCUGGGCAGUAACUGACGCUGAGGAACGAAAGCGUGGGUAGCGAACAGG